RNAcentral lists this ribosomal RNA (387 nucleotides) under uncultured Bacteroidota bacterium. Its description in RNAcentral is "bacterial SSU rRNA". It matches the Rfam family "Bacterial small subunit ribosomal RNA", at positions 568 to 957 of the family's 1533-position model. Lineage: Bacteria; Pseudomonadati; Bacteroidota. The record is from RNAcentral.
UCCGCAGGCUGAAUAUUAAGUCAGUGGUGAAAGCCUACAGCUUAACUGUAGAACUGCCAUUGAUACUGAUAUUCUUGAGUGUGGUUGAAGUGGGCGGAAUAUGUCAUGUAGCGGUGAAAUGCAUAGAUAUGACGUGGAACACCAAUUGCGAAGGCAGCUCACUAAGCCAUUACUGACGCUCAUGGACGAAAGCGUGGGGAGCGAACAGGAUUAGAUACCCUGGUAGUCCACGCCGUAAACUAUGAUCACUAGAUGUUGGCGAUAUAAUGUCAGCGUUCAAGAGAAAUCGUUAAGUGAUCUACCUGGGGAGUACGUUCGCAAGAAUGAAACUCAAAGGAAUUGACGGGGGCCCGCACAAGCGGUGGAGCAUGUGGUUUAAUUCGAUGA